GCUCAGGAUGAACGCUGCGGCAUGCCUUAACACAUGCAAGUCGAACGGGAAGUGGUGUUUCCAGUGGCGAACGCGUGAGUAACGCGUAUAGAACCUGCCCUUGGGAGGGGAACAACAACUGGAAACGGUUGCUAAUAACCCCGUAGGCUGAGGAGCAAAAGGAGAAAUCCGCCCAAGGAGGGGCUCGCGUCUGAUUAGCUAGUGGUGAGGCAAUGUAGCUUACCAAGGCGAUAUCAGUUAGCUGGUCCGAGAGGAGGAUCCGGCCACACGGGACUGAGACCACGGCCAGAACCUACGGGAGGCAGCAGUGGGAAUUUUACGCAAUGGGCGAAAGCCUGACGGAGCAAUGCCGCGGGAGGUGAAGGCCUACGGGUCGUCAACUUCUUUUUCGGAGAAGAAACAGUGAAAACCGGUAUCGAGGAAUAAGCAUCGGCUAACUCUGUGACCAGCAGCCGGCGGUAAGACAGAGGAUGCAAGAGUGAGAAGGAAGGAGAGGGGAGGAGCUCCCUUCUCCUAUCUCUCACUUUCUCCCCGUCUGUAGGGGGCUUUUCAAGUCCGCCGUCAAAUCCCAGGGCUCAACCCUGGACAGGCGGUGGAAACUACCAAGCGGGUACGGUAGGGGCGAGGGAAUUGCCGGUGGAGCGGUGGAAAUGCAUUGAGAUCGGAAAGGAACACCAACGGCGAAGCACUCUGCUGAGGGCCGACACUGACACUGAGAGACGAAAGCUAGGGGAGAAAAUGGGAUUAGAGACCCCAGUAGUCCUAGCCGUAAACGAUGGAUACUAGGUGUGUGCGACGCGCCCCGUAGUGCUGUAGCUAACGCGUUAAGUAUCCCGCUGGGGAGUACGUUCGCAAGAAUGAAAUCAAAGGAAAUUGACGGGGCCCACAAGCGGUGGAGCUUGGUUAAUUCGAUUGGCAAAGAGAAGAACCUUACCAGGGCUUGACAUGCCGCGAAUCCUCUUGAAGAGAGGGUGCCUCGGAAACGCGGACCACAGGUGGUGCAUGGCUGUGUCAGCUUGUCCGUAAGGUGUUGGGUUAAGUCUCGCAACGAGCGCGCAACCUCGUGUUGUUGGCACUAUGAGUUGAACCCUGGAACAGACGCCGGUGUUAAGCCGGAGGAAGGAGAGGAUGAGGCCAAGGCCAAGUCAUCAUGCCCCUAUGCCCUGGGCGACACACACGUUAACAUGGGGGGACAAAGGGUCGCGAUCUCGCGAGGGUGAGCUAACUCCAAAAACCCGUCCUCAGUUCGGAUGCAGGCUGCCAACUCGCUGCAUGAAGCAGGAAUCGCUAUAAUCGCCGGUCAGCCAUACGGCGGUGAAUCCGUUCCCGGGCCUUGUACACACGGCCCGUCACACUCUAGGGUGGCCAGGUUUGAAGUCAUUACCUUAACCGUCAGGAGGGGGGAUGCCUAAGGCUAGGCUUGCGACUGGAGUGAAGUCGUAACAAGGGUAGCCGUUACUGGAAGGGCGGCUG
This 1473-nucleotide ribosomal RNA is filed under the name Saccharum spontaneum (wild sugarcane). RNAcentral describes it as "bacterial SSU rRNA". It matches the Rfam family "Bacterial small subunit ribosomal RNA". Lineage: Eukaryota; Viridiplantae; Streptophyta; Magnoliopsida; Poales; Poaceae. The record is from RNAcentral.